GCCCAGCUGUAACAAAACAAUUAAAUAACAAAUUGUUCGCCAAAUAACUACGAGUAAAAACUUAAAAUUUAAAAGACUUGACGGUACUUCACAUCAACCUAGAGGAGCCUGUCUAAUAACCGAUAAUCCACGAUUAACCCAACCCUAUCUAGCCUAACAGUCUAUAUACCGCCGUCGCCAGCUUACCUUGUGAAAGAAAUAAAGUAAGCAUAAUAACACUACAUUAAUACGACAGGUCGAGGUGUAACUAAUGAUAAGGAAAUAAGAUGGGCUACAUUUUCUAAUCCAGAAAACACGGAUAAGCUAUGAAAAUAAAAACUGAAGGAGGAUUUAGCAAUAAGAUGAGAACAUAAUACUCAACUGAAAUUAAUGCAAUGAAGUGCGCACACACCGCCCGUCAUCCCUGUAAAUCACAUAAAACAUAAAUAAUUACAUUAAAUUCCUUUAAAGCAGGGCAAGUCGUAACAUGGUAAGUGUACUGGAAAGUGCACUUAGAAA
This 498-nucleotide ribosomal RNA is filed under the name Bungarus fasciatus (banded krait). RNAcentral describes it as "partial 12S ribosomal RNA". Lineage: Eukaryota; Metazoa; Chordata; Lepidosauria; Squamata; Elapidae. The record is from RNAcentral.